UACGAAGGGGGCUAGCGUUGUUCGGAAUCACUGGGCGUAAAGCGUACGUAGGCGGAUCGUUAAGUCAGGGGUGAAAGCCUGGAGCUCAACUCCAGAACUGCCUUUGAUACUGGCGAUCUUGAGACCGGGAGAGGUGAGUGGAACUGCUAGUGUAGAGGUGAAAUUCGUAGAUAUUAGCAAGAACACCAGUGGCGAAGGCGGCUCACUGGCCCGGUACUGACGCUGAGGUACGAAAGUGUGGGGAGCAAACAGG
This 253-nucleotide ribosomal RNA is filed under the name uncultured bacterium. Its description in RNAcentral is "partial 16S ribosomal RNA". It matches the Rfam family "Bacterial small subunit ribosomal RNA", at positions 524 to 776 of the family's 1533-position model. The record is from RNAcentral.